Molecule: ribosomal RNA, 2923 nt
Filed under: Klebsiella pneumoniae
Lineage: Bacteria; Pseudomonadati; Pseudomonadota; Gammaproteobacteria; Enterobacterales; Enterobacteriaceae
Description: bacterial LSU rRNA
Rfam family: Bacterial large subunit ribosomal RNA
Source: RNAcentral
GGGUUGUGAGGUUAAGCGACUAAGCGUACACGGUGGAUGCCCUGGCAGUCAGAGGCGAUGAAGGACGUGCUAAUCUGCGAAAAGCGUCGGUAAGGUGAUAUGAACCGUUACAGCCGGCGAUGUCCGAAUGGGGAAACCCAGUGUGAUUCGUCACACUAUCGUUAACUGAAUACAUAGGUUAACGAGGCGAACCGGGGGAACUGAAACAUCUAAGUACCCCGAGGAAAAGAAAUCAACCGAGAUUCCCCCAGUAGCGGCGAGCGAACGGGGAGCAGCCCAGAGUCUGAAUCAGCUUGUGUGUUAGUGGAACGGUCUGGAAAGUCCGACGGUACAGGGUGAUAGUCCCGUACACCAAAAUGCACAGGCUGUGAACUCGAAGAGUAGGGCGGGACACGUGGUAUCCUGUCUGAAUAUGGGGGGACCAUCCUCCAAGGCUAAAUACUCCUGACUGACCGAUAGUGAACCAGUACCGUGAGGGAAAGGCGAAAAGAACCCCGGCGAGGGGAGUGAAAAAGAACCUGAAACCGUGUACGUACAAGCAGUGGGAGCACCUUCGGGUGUGACUGCGUACCUUUUGUAUAAUGGGUCAGCGACUUAUAUUCUGUAGCAAGGUUAACCGUAUAGGGGAGCCGCAGGGAAACCGAGUCUUAACUGGGCGUUAAGUUGCAGGGUAUAGACCCGAAACCCGGUGAUCUAGCCAUGGGCAGGUUGAAGGUUGGGUAACACUAACUGGAGGACCGAACCGACUAAUGUUGAAAAAUUAGCGGAUGACUUGUGGCUGGGGGUGAAAGGCCAAUCAAACCGGGAGAUAGCUGGUUCUCCCCGAAAGCUAUUUAGGUAGCGCCUCGUGAAUUCAUCUUCGGGGGUAGAGCACUGUUUCGGCUAGGGGGUCAUCCCGACUUACCAACCCGAUGCAAACUACGAAUACCGAAGAAUGUUAUCACGGGAGACACACGGCGGGUGCUAACGUCCGUCGUGAAGAGGGAAACAACCCAGACCGCCAGCUAAGGUCCCAAAGUCAUGGUUAAGUGGGAAACGAUGUGGGAAGGCACAGACAGCCAGGAUGUUGGCUUAGAAGCAGCCAUCAUUUAAAGAAAGCGUAAUAGCUCACUGGUCGAGUCGGCCUGCGCGGAAGAUGUAACGGGGCUAAACCAUGCACCGAAGCUGCGGCAGCGACACUAUGUGUUGUUGGGUAGGGGAGCGUUCUGUAAGCCUGCGAAGGUGACCUGUGAGGGUUGCUGGAGGUAUCAGAAGUGCGAAUGCUGACAUAAGUAACGAUAAAGCGGGUGAAAAAGCCCGCUCGCCGGAAGACCAAGGGUUCCUGUCCAACGUUAAUCGGGGCAGGGUGAGUCGACCCCUAAGGCGAGGCCGAAAGGCGUAGUCGAUGGGAAACAGGUUAAUAUUCCUGUACUUGGUGUUACUGCGAAGGGGGGACGGAGAAGGCUAUGUUAGCCGGGCGACGGUUGUCCCGGUUUAAGCAUGUAGGCUGGUUGUCCAGGCAAAUCCGGAUAAUCAAGGCUGAGGUGUGAUGACGAGGCACUACGGUGCUGAAGUAACAAAUGCCCUGCUUCCAGGAAAAGCCUCUAAGCAUCAGGUAACAUCAAAUCGUACCCCAAACCGACACAGGUGGUCAGGUAGAGAAUACCAAGGCGCUUGAGAGAACUCGGGUGAAGGAACUAGGCAAAAUGGUGCCGUAACUUCGGGAGAAGGCACGCUGGUGUGUAGGUGAAGUCCCUGCGGAUGGAGCUGAGACCAGUCGAAGAUACCAGCUGGCUGCAACUGUUUAUUAAAAACACAGCACUGUGCAAACACGAAAGUGGACGUAUACGGUGUGACGCCUGCCCGGUGCCGGAAGGUUAAUUGAUGGGGUUAUCCGUAAGGAGAAGCUCUUGAUCGAAGCCCCGGUAAACGGCGGCCGUAACUAUAACGGUCCUAAGGUAGCGAAAUUCCUUGUCGGGUAAGUUCCGACCUGCACGAAUGGCGUAAUGAUGGCCAGGCUGUCUCCACCCGAGACUCAGUGAAAUUGAACUCGCUGUGAAGAUGCAGUGUACCCGCGGCAAGACGGAAAGACCCCGUGAACCUUUACUAUAGCUUGACACUGAACAUUGAGCCUUGAUGUGUAGGAUAGGUGGGAGGCUUUGAAGCGUGGACGCCAGUCUGCGUGGAGCCAACCUUGAAAUACCACCCUUUAAUGUUUGAUGUUCUAACGUUGGCCCCUUACCGGGGUUGCGGACAGUGUCUGGUGGGUAGUUUGACUGGGGCGGUCUCCUCCCAAAGCGUAACGGAGGAGCACGAAGGUUAGCUAAUCCUGGUCGGACAUCAGGAGGUUAGUGCAAUGGCAUAAGCUAGCUUGACUGCGAGCGUGACGGCGCGAGCAGGUGCGAAAGCAGGUCAUAGUGAUCCGGUGGUUCUGAAUGGAAGGGCCAUCGCUCAACGGAUAAAAGGUACUCCGGGGAUAACAGGCUGAUACCGCCCAAGAGUUCAUAUCGACGGCGGUGUUUGGCACCUCGAUGUCGGCUCAUCACAUCCUGGGGCUGAAGUAGGUCCCAAGGGUAUGGCUGUUCGCCAUUUAAAGUGGUACGCGAGCUGGGUUUAGAACGUCGUGAGACAGUUCGGUCCCUAUCUGCCGUGGGCGCUGGAGAAUUGAGGGGGCUGCUCCUAGUACGAGAGGACCGGAGUGGACGCAUCACUGGUGUUCGGGUUGUCAUGCCAAUGGCACUGCCCGGUAGCUAAAUGCGGAAGAGAUAAGUGCUGAAAGCAUCUAAGCACGAAACUUGCCCCGAGAUGAGUUCUCCCUGAGACUUUAAGUCUCCUGAAGGAACGUUAAAGACGAUGACGUUGAUAGGCCGGGUGUGUAAGCGCAGCGAUGCGUUGAGCUAACCGGUACUAAUGAACCGUGAGGCUUAACCUUACAACGCCGAAG